UGACUGGAGAGGUUCCUGUAAGGUGUCAGGAUGUGGCGGUGUAUUUCUCCAUGGAGGAGUGGGAGUAUAUAGAAGGACAGGAGGAUCUGUACGAGGAGGCCAUGAUGGAGGAGCCCCGGCCUCUGACAUCACCAGGUUCUGACUCCAGGAGGAGAG
Long non-coding RNA from Bufo bufo (common toad), 156 nucleotides. RefSeq lists it as uncharacterized. Lineage: Eukaryota; Metazoa; Chordata; Amphibia; Anura; Bufonidae. The record is from RefSeq and is a predicted model, not a curated record. The transcript is spliced from 3 exons.